This 374-nucleotide ribosomal RNA is filed under the name uncultured organism. RNAcentral describes it as "partial 16S ribosomal RNA". It matches the Rfam family "Bacterial small subunit ribosomal RNA", at positions 527 to 896 of the family's 1533-position model. The record is from RNAcentral.
GUAGGUGGCAAGCGUUGUCCGGAAUUAUUGGGCGUAAAGCGCGCGCAGGCGGGGUCCUUUAAGUCUGAUGUGAAAGCCCACGGGCUCAACCGUGGAGGGUCAUUGGAAACUGGGGGACUUGAGUACAGAAGAGGAAAGCGGAAUUCCAAGUGUAGCGGUGAAAUGCGUAGAGAUUUGGAGGAACACCAGUGGCGAAGGCGGCUUUCUGGUCUGUAACUGACGCUGAGGCGCGAAAGCGUGGGGAGCAAACAGGAUUAGAUACCCUGGUAGUCCACGCCGUAAACGAUGAGUGCUAAGUGUUAGGGGGUUUCCGCCCCUUAGUGCUGCAGCUAGCGCAUUAAGCACUCCGCCUGGGGAGUACGGCCGCAAGGCUG